AGCGAACGCUGGCGGUAGGCCUAACACAUGCAAGUCGAACGCCAGCACAGUAAGAGCUUGCUCUUACGGGUGGCGAGUGGCGGACGGGUGAGGAAUACAUCGGAAUCUACUUUUUCGUGGGGGAUAACGUAGGGAAACUUACGCUAAUAUCUCAUCCGACCUACGGGUGAAAGCAGGUGAUCUUCGGACUUUGCGCGAUUGAUUGAGCCGAUGCCGGAUUAGCUAGUUGGCGGGGUAAAGGCCCACCAAGGCGACGAGCCUUAGCUGGUCUGAGAGGAUGAUCAGCCACACUGGAACUGAGACACGGUCCAGACGCCUACGGGAGGCAGCAGUGGGGAAGAGUGGACAAUGGGCGCAAGCCUGAUCCAGCCAUACCGCGUGGGUGAAGAAGGCCUUCGGGUUUUAAAGCCCUUUUGUUGUGAAAGAAAAGCAGCAGGUUAAUACCCCGCUGUUCUGACGGUACCCAAAGAAUAAGCACCGGCUAACUUCGUG
Molecule: ribosomal RNA, 492 nt
Filed under: uncultured bacterium
Lineage: Bacteria
Description: partial 16S ribosomal RNA
Rfam family: Bacterial small subunit ribosomal RNA
Source: RNAcentral